RNAcentral lists this ribosomal RNA (253 nucleotides) under uncultured prokaryote. RNAcentral describes it as "partial 16S ribosomal RNA". It matches the Rfam family "Bacterial small subunit ribosomal RNA", at positions 524 to 776 of the family's 1533-position model. The record is from RNAcentral.
UACGGAGGGUGCAAGCGUUAAUCGGAAUUACUGGGCGUAAAGCGCGCGUAGGCGGUUAGGUAAGUCGAUUGUGAAAUCCCCGGGCUCAACCUGGGAAUUGCAGUCGAGACUGUCUGACUAGAGUACGGUAGAGGGGGAUGGAAUUCCGCGUGUAGCAGUGAAAUGCGUAGAUAUGCGGAGGAACACCGAUGGCGAAGGCAAUCCCCUGGACCUGUACUGACGCUCAUGCACGAAAGCGUGGGGAGCAAACAGG